This is a non-coding RNA of Meleagris gallopavo (turkey), 4483 nucleotides long. Lineage: Eukaryota; Metazoa; Chordata; Aves; Galliformes; Phasianidae. The record is from RefSeq and is a predicted model, not a curated record.
GCUGCUUCUAGAAUAAAUAAUCAAAUGAUGCAGACAGAUCCCCACAAAUACCUGCUGGGCUUACAGCUAAGAGAUGGCAUGGAGGUGCCUACAGCUGUUGGACUGUCACUCAAUUUAUACUACACCUCAUUGUGCCCGGGAGGAGUGCAUCUAUGUCUCAGGCUGUGUGAGGAUGCCAAGACUCUUCACAGGACCUAGGCAUUGCUCCACUUCUACCAAGUCCUUGUGAGGUUGGAGCCCUGUUGUGGGAAACCAUGUCUUUUUCCAGUGUGGGGGAAAAUGUAACGUCAGGAUGGAUCAGCAGUCAAAAGUUGUGAAAAGAAUAGCAAAAGUGAUAUGUGACUAAAGAAAGAAAACAGGAUGAGACUCCCUGAUUCAAAAGAACCACCUCUCUUCAGGAAUGCUCGUGAAUAUGCUUCUGAGCGAAGAGGAAUCUUCCAGAAGCUAUGGAGUGGCCAAUCCAUGCUGCCUCCUCCAUGCUCUGUUGUGGAACUGAGAAGUGGAGAGUCUUCCUUCGGAUCUGCAAGCUCUGGUUUAACCCUGGCACAAUAUGUCACAUAGCAGCUGUAGAGAAUGAUCUGGUUCCUGUGCUCUGGAUGAGUUAAUUUCGUGCCUUGCUCUGACAUGUAAGAAGGAAACUCUGGAAAGAUGAGGCUCACAGAGGAAAGGAUCUUGAAAUCUCUUGGCUACCCCACGGGGACUGUGAAUUGCUACAAUUAUUUCUGUGGAUAUAACAGCAUUUUCUUAGUGCUUCUUUUCCACAUCUUUCACCAACCAUUUUUCUACUUACUUCUGCCAUGGUUGUCACCCUCAGCAGCAUUGCUGCUGGGAUACUCUACUCCUUCUGUGGACUGCUGAUCAGCAACUGUACAUGUACUCCGUGGGCUGGGAAAUGCUGUUUGUAUAGUUAAGUACUUGCCUAAAUUGCUCUGGACUAAAAACAGAAUAAGCAGUUUGGCACCUGAUUUUUCACACAAUGUUUAUUUUGCACAAAGAGUGAAUUUUAAUUAAAGCUGACUCAAUGUGUUUUCAGUGUGAGAGUAGGUUAGUUACUACUGGCUGCUUUUGUGAAGGAGGGCAGGAAAAAUAAAAUGUCUACUCUUGAGUGCUCUGUGUGUGUAGCUAUAAAUCAAAGAUAGGCACAGGUGUGUAAAACAUAGCUAAUGUUGAUAAAAACUGAAUCUGAGAUAUUUAAUCUAAAUAUUUGAAUAAGGCUCUUGGGUUAUUUGCUGUGAAUCAAUUUGGGUCAACCUCACACCCCAGCAAAGUCUGUCUGCAGUGGUGACCAUACCAGGUGUUUCAGGGGGAGCUGUAAGCAUUCUACAGUGCGAUGUAUUUUCUAUAAAGAAAGUUUUCUUCCAUGUUUAAAUAGUAAAAGUUGAUUCAACUCUGAAAGUAACUUUAUUUCAUCUUUUUCCUUACUGCUGAUAGUAUUCUAUAUAUUGAAACAAAUGCUGCUGUUUCAAAUGCUUCUGAGGUAUCUUCUAUUGGAAUCUUGUGGAAGGAUUCUGCAGAUUAGCAGUGAGGAAAUAGUUUUAUCUGCACUGCAUCUGGCAUUUUUCAUUUUCACACAGACCACCAGUCUUACUCAGAGUGUGAACAAUAACUCUCGGAGGAGCUAGUGCAUACAGUUACUCUUGAUGUAGCUGUUGUAUGAAUACCACACUUCUGUAUAGUUAAAAUAUUCAUAUAACAAAAAACAGUUCUUAUUCUUUGGUGUAUUUUCUUAAAUUUAUAUUUACAGUAUCUCUGGAGUUUUGUUGGAGUUUGGUAUGAAUACUUGAAAAUAACACUAUCUUUAAAAACUGUGUAAUACAGACAAGAAUGCUGGCAGCUGCACUCUGCUCAGAAUCCAGUGUCUAAAGAUUAACUAUAAUGGUGCAGUAUUUCCUCUGCAUGCUUGGUAUUCAUCUAUUCUGUAGAACCUACUUCUGAGAUGUCUGAAACCCAUGAUGAUUGUAGAAGCUACACUGUAGGAACAAAAUCAGGUAUAUUCCCAUGUAUAGUGAUAUUCAGGGACAAAGUGCCUAACUGACUAGAGCACUUCCAAUGAAAUAACAGCACUGUAAGAAGAGUACUGAUUACAGCCCUCCAUGAAAAAUUAAAUCCACAGAUAAUGUGUUAUUUGUAACUCGCCAACUACAUUGCUCAUGAGUGGUGCAGGAGAAUCAAUUCCUUCAUUCAUACAAAUUGGUAUAUAUAUUUUUUCGGAAUGUUGAGGAAUAUCAGGUUAUGUGAGUUCCUGUGCACAAGAUCUUUUGAUUGUGGAAGUGCCUUGUAUGAAAUGCUUUUUCGGUUGCUAAGACAUUUUGCUAAGAGGCUCCAUGUAUGUGAAAGGAAUAGAAUUGCUAGCACUUAAAGCUAGGAUAAUAUUAUGCUGUUCACUUGCAAAGGUAGUAUACCCUUACAAGGGAAUCUGCAUUUGUAACCUAAAGAUGAGCCUUUAGAUCAAGUGGAAUCGUAGAAUAUCCUGAGUUGGAAGGGAUCCAUGAGUCCAACUCAUAAUGCCAUGUGGAUUAGCCUAAGUGUUGAACUGUAUCUCUAGAAGAACUCAUUCUGUAUCUUCCUUAUAUGUCAUUCACAUUGCUGUUGAGCUGGAGUUCAAAAGCUACUAUUGUAAGACCUUGUACUGUCUUGAAUAGCAUGAAUAGCAAUUCAGUCCUGAUUAAUAUCUGUUUAUAAAAUAGUAGGAUGGAAUUAAUGCAAUUGGUGUUCAAAAUGAUCAGUUUUUAUCAGCUGGUUAUCUAGCUGUCUUGAAAUAAGACUGUAACUUUGUCUCAAUCUGGUAGCUAUUAUGUAUUUAAUAGCACAGGAAUUUUUAAAAUUGGCCCAGACCUGUUUCUCCUGAAGCAAGUGGUAAAAUUCCAAUUUCUUUAAAUAGAAGAAGGAUUACAUUAUUGCUGACUGCUUGUAAAGUCCCAUCUGUUAACAUUCAACUUGAUUAGAAAUUUUCCAUACAUUCUAUUUUCAAGACUAGAUGACUAUAUGUUCAUUAAUUAGAAGCACUGGUAAAAUAUUUACUAUCUGAACUCUUUCAAACACAUGAAAAGAUUAAUGAAUUCUACUUUGUUUAUUUUUUUCCUUCAGAUUUCCUUAAAGGAAGUCUCUACUUUGCUAACUGACAACAAUAAAUAUUUCAAUAUUUGUUCCUUAACAUCCUGAGUGGCUAUAAAAAACCUCCCCUCACACCUGAAUCUCUGAAUACUUACAGGGAACUGCCAUGUGUUCAGUAUUAAGAGAUCCUGUUCUUUUUCAGUGAACCUGCAAUAGGUGGAAAAGAGCUCUUGAAUCCAUGACCAUAAGCCCUAGUGUUGGUUGAUGUGUCUUUAACUCCUAACUCUUAUUUGAAUAAGGGAGCUUGGGCUCUUGGCUCCAGGAUGUGGCUUGUGCUCUGGAGUUGGUCCCUUCGAACUGCUCACAGUGUGGCUUUACAGUCUCUGCACAUCUCAUCCUGUACAGCCAAGCAGGUGCCUGCAGGGUUAUUGACGAGGCCCUCAGUCUCUGAGCUUGCUGGGCUGUAGACAAAAAAGGCAAUAAAAAGGCAAAAAAAUAAAAUAAAAAUCUUGUGAUCUUGAAGCUCCUCUACAAUGCUGGAAUAUCAUUUGUUUCCCACUUUAAUGCAUAUGAUAUUUGCUGAGGUUGUUUGUAAAUUACAUUCUCCCUGAGCGGCAAGAGCACUGAGAGCAGCCAGAUGGUUAGCAGAAAUGUAUGAUAUAAAGACUGUGACAACUUGGUGCCAUAGUUCUGAAGCUUACUGUCAACUGAAACAACUUGAAAAAAAAAGUUCGACAUUUAAGUUUAGUGGAAAAAAAAUGCAGUUGCUUUUGGAAUAAUAACAUUAUUAUUGUAUUUAGUUGUCUUCCCUCACACCUGUCCUGGAUACUACUUCAUCUAAUAGUUGAGGUGAAAAAAUACAUAGCAAUAUAAGUUACUAAAUUAUAUCACAGGAUGGUAGUCUAAAUCUCAUUUGAGGAGAGUCCUGGCUUGUGUCCAUACAACACGUAAAAAUAAAUAAAAAAAAAUAAUCCAAGUAAUCAUAUGUCCCAGAAAGUUUUUUAACUGAAGCCAAAAAGCACAAUACUUUUCUAUGUAGCCCAGAGAAGAAACCAAUGUCAGGGUGAAUACCAGUGUUUUCUCUAGGAUGAGACAGGUUGACUACUACCAUAAUAAAAAGCUGUUUUUUUUGUUGUUGUUUGUUUGUUUUUUGUUUUUUUACAAGAUCCCUAAUCAUGCUCUACUGAAAACUGUUUUUUUGGGUGGAAUCACCUUCUGCACGUCUCAGAGGUGACCCAUCAUGGUGUGAAGCAGGUGAAUAUCUGCCCAGGGUGUCAGAGAACACAUCCCAAUUCACAGGCUCUGGAUCUGACUUGCAGCUUUAAAUGUUUUGUUAACACUAGGUGGUAGACAAGAAGGUAAAAGCAUUGGCCAGAGAGCUGACUACUGUGUUAAAGCAACAGGAGUUUUGCUAAAUAUGUCAUUCAUC